RNAcentral lists this long non-coding RNA (617 nucleotides) under Danio rerio (zebrafish). RNAcentral's name for it is "si:ch211-152p11.8 (ENSDARG00000095427.4)". Lineage: Eukaryota; Metazoa; Chordata; Actinopteri; Cypriniformes; Danionidae. The record is from RNAcentral.
UGGUUUUAUAUUAUAUAUACACGUUUACUUUGAAAAUGUCGAUAGUCUGUGCGUUUACCUGAAAGCAGUAUCUGUAAAAUAACUGACGUUGGCUGCUCACGGCCUCUCCCUCGUGGUCGUAAUUUUAUUUAGUUAAGCAUUUUUAUCGAAUAUGACUUGAUAAUUUUUUAGUAAGCUUUUGAAAAUGCUUGCUGCUUAUAAAUAUUGUUGUGUAGAGAACCAAAGUCCAAGAAACGGUGCGAAAGGGCAAACGCAGAUUUCUUGUUGGAUGGCAGGCCGUUGACGCCAACUGUUGACAACCAUUAUGUUGGAUGAGAGAAAUUGAGGCUGGUAGACGAUGCCAACAGUUGACGACCAAUUGGUUGGAUGGAAGAAAUUGAGGCCAGUAGAUGAUGCCAACAGUUGACGAUCAGUUGGUUGGAUCAAAGAAACUGAGGCUGGUAGUCGAUGUCAACAGUUGACAAUAAAAUGGUUAGAUGAGUGAAAUCAGUUGCCUUGUAGCAGAUGCCAUCUUUCAGCAAAAAAAAGAGUUUGGAUGAGAAAAACAGAGGCUGCCAGGUAGCUGAUGCCAACAAUAGGCGACCAAUGGGUUGAAUGGAACAAAAGCCUGCUGGCUG